GUUUCCGUCUGAAAUGAAAGUGGCCGCAUUCGUGUUCAUUCAUAAUAUUGAAAUGUAAGUUGUAUUUGAUGAUAAUACAUAAUAUAUAUAAAGGUUGAGGAUGAACACGGAUGCGGCCACUUUCAUUUUUGACAAAAAUCAUCUGAAAAGUGACGAUUUUUGGCAUAUUUGAUAGAUUUUUCAUAUUGAAGCUUGAAUCGGGGCGUUUUAAAUGACUUAUUAAGUUAAAAUCUUCCCCAUUAACUAAUUGAAUCAAUUGAAAUAGACACUUAAGUGUUUAGAAAGUGUCUAAAAUCUUUCGUUAGAUGAACUUGAAAAUUGAGGCCGAAAUCGGCCCUUACCGGACCUACUCCUUUAAUUAUAUUCUUUC
RNAcentral lists this long non-coding RNA (370 nucleotides) under Mytilus galloprovincialis (Mediterranean mussel). Lineage: Eukaryota; Metazoa; Mollusca; Bivalvia; Mytilida; Mytilidae. The record is from RNAcentral.